UGGACCCACCUGAAUCCAUUCCGAACUCAGAAGUGAAACGAAAUAGCGUCGAUGGUAGUGUGGGGUUUCCCCAUGUGAGAGUAGAACAUCGCCAGGC
RNAcentral lists this ribosomal RNA (97 nucleotides) under Vibrio vulnificus. Lineage: Bacteria; Pseudomonadati; Pseudomonadota; Gammaproteobacteria; Vibrionales; Vibrionaceae. The record is from RNAcentral.